UACGAAGGGGGCUAGCGUUGCUCGGAAUCACUGGGCGUAAAGCGCACGUAGGCGGAUUGCUAAGUCAGAUGUGAAAGCCCUCGGCUCAACCGAGGAAGUGCAUCUGAAACUGGCGAGCUAGAGUACUAAAGAGGGUCGCGGAAUUCCCGGUGUAGAGGUGAAAUUCGUAGAUAUCGGGAGGAACACCGGUGGCGAAGGCGGCGACCUGGGUAGAUACUGACGCUGAGGUGCGAAAGCGUGGGGAGCAAACAGG
Molecule: ribosomal RNA, 253 nt
Filed under: uncultured bacterium
Lineage: Bacteria
Description: partial 16S ribosomal RNA
Rfam family: Bacterial small subunit ribosomal RNA
Source: RNAcentral